CCUUGGGAUUAUGUUAGACUGCUUGGGUUAUAUUUUAUAGUAUCGAAGGCUGUCAACGUGUCAGCUAUUCUUUUCCCAUUAGAAUUUUCAAUCGUUUUUCUUUUUCUCUCUCUUCCAAUUCACUCCCUCUACUUCAUUUUACAGGGGUGGAGAACACCACUCUAUCAAGAACAAGAAAAAUGUAGCAAUUUUGUUUAAAAUGGGUUGACCUUGAAAGCAACCUGCUAUCUAUCGAUAGGCGAGAGCAUAUUGCUAUUGAUUGCUUCGCUUAUCUAUUCUAUUAUGGCCGGCUUGGAGACAUCAAAGGAAGACCAUUAUCUCUAUCCGGGAAUGAUGUCAUUCUUUCGUCUUUCGUUGAACCUUGGGGAUAACCAUUAGCAUUGGGGUAAAUCACCACCUCUAUCAUACAUACGACAUUACACGAAGUGAGAGUGCAUGGUCAACACACACCUAAAGCGCCUACGUUCCGCUUGCAGCUAAUACAACUAAAACCUAACUAACACGAGAUUAAACAAUCGAAGCUACUGGUAAUACUAAGGGGGAGACAUCCUCUUAUAAUAGUUUGUGAAUCACAAUGUAGAGAAAUAAGUUGGGCUGGAUGCCCUCACAGACAAAGAAAUAUUAGGCAAUAGGUUUCUCAAUCACUCAGCUUUUUACCUAGCUAAAUUCAAAGCUAUGAAUUUUGACUCCAUAGUGGAUCAGGCAAUGCUACUCUAUUGAUUAGACUUCCAUGAUAUAGCAACUUUACACAUAGUGAACACAUAUCUACUAGUUGAACUUCUCAUCUUUAUCCGUUACUCUUGUUUGCGUCACAAAAUCUACAUGAUAACCAACAUAGUUCAAUGCCAGUCUGAUAUUGCUAAAUUGUUCUAUAUGCUUUGUAUGCAUCACAAGAGAUAUACAGUAUAGAAAUAGCUCCAAGAAUUUAACUCACAAAAGCUCUUUUAUUCAUAGCCCUUCAACAGAAUAACAUUAAUGAAUUAAGAGAGCAUAGAAAGCAUUAUUUCUUCUGGGGUGUUUUUAGAGAGAGAGCCAAGAGAGGGGGCCAAAAUUCAAAAGUCGUUAACUUGAAGGGCUAGGGCCCUUUAUAUAGGUCCCUAGUCACUUAUCCAAUACCGUAUAAAUAUCUAAAAUACGUAUAACGGUAAUCCUAAUGUUUCCCUAUCAAGUACCCCCUAGUCUGUGUCCUAACGUCAAGUCAAUAAGGAAGGGUUUGGGCUGGAAAAAGUGGUCCAUAUAGCCGGUGAUGUACGCUGGUUGCCUCAUUAAAAACCUUAGACUAAUAAAAAACUCAGUGGGAAAAAAUCUGAGUUACGGAAAAAAGAGCAGUACCUUAAGCACAGUCUUUUGGACUAUAAGGGUCGACUGAACUCUACCGAUCUAGGGAUUAGAUUUGUGGUACGAUUGAGAGUUUGAAUUUUACCGGUCUAGUGAUCAAUUUCUACCAAUCAAGAGAUUGGAUUUACUCGGGGCUGAAUGCCGACCUUGCGGGCUGAAUUGCCUACCUCGUAAGACAUAAUGCCGGGAACUGGUCACGUGCUAACUGUGUCAGUGAUGGCGAUGCCGAUCUAAUCGGGCCUACAAUGUUGGUGGUGGUAGUGCCGACCUAACCAUACUUAAUUGCCUACUAUGUAGGGCUUAUGUCGAGAUAUGGUCUCGGGCUUACCGAGCCGAUGCUGGCGAUGCCGAUCUAAUCGGGUUUAUAGCGCCUGUGGUGGUAAUACCGACCUAACCUGACUUAUCUGUCUACCAUGUAAGACUUACGUCGAGAUAAGGUCUUGGGGUCAUCGUGCCGAGGGUGGCAAUGCCGACCUAAUCAGGGCUUAUAGCGUCGGUGGUGGCGAUUUCGACCUAACCGGACUUUAAUUGCUUACAUUGUAGAGCUUAAGCUGAGAUACGGUCUCGGUCUUAGAGGGCUGGUAAUGUCGAUCUAAUCAGACUCGUACACGACUAAUUUGCAUACAUGAUUGCUACAAUUUACAAAGCAAAGUAGACGAAGGUAAUUCUUCCUCAUUGGUGCAACGACAAUAGUUUUUUUUGACUUUUCGGUCGUAAUCGAUCUUAACGAUCGUAAAUGGGCACCUUGCUCCCCCAAAGAUCGGUCCGGUGACCAUAAACGGGCACCUUGCUCCUGUAGUGGGCACUUUGCUCCCACAAAGAUCGGUCCGUGGAUCAUAAACGAGCACCCUUUUCCCGUAGUGGGCACCUUGCUCCCACAAAGAUUGAUCCGAGAACCAUAAACGGACUUUACUCCCGCAUAACAGUCCGAGAACUGGUCAAAAAUGCCUAGUUCGUAGGAUUUAUGCCGAGAUUAAAUCUCAGGCUUGCAAUACCGGUGGUAGAUGGACUAACCUAACCGGACUUAAUACAUAUAUUCUGCUAUUACAAUUUUCUAAAAGUACAAGUUAAGACCUAUACAAUCUUCAAUCUAAAAUUAAAUUACAAAAUUUACAGACUAUAAACUUUUUUCUUAUCUUGAACUUGUAGUCACCACAAACUGCUAUUCAUGUUAAAUUAUAAUACCCAAAGGCCAAAGCUUUCCAUUUGAAAUAUCCCAUUAAAUUUCCCAUGCUCAUAAUCUACCACACCGACACUUCACAUCCACCGCCCAAAUCCACAUUUCUUAUUUCUUGCUUUCACAAUCCACCGCCAACCACCUCUAAUCAUCUUUUGCCUUUUGCUCUUUUCGCAUGCAACCACCCAUCAUUUCCUUUUCAUUUCACUUUUCAUUUUCCAUUAUAUAUUUUUUAUUUUAUCACAAAUUUCAUGGAAGAAAUAACAAAAUAAUAAAAUGAUUUAGAAAGGAAGUUGCCUUUCUCUUUGGAUCGUUGAAUCAGGCAAAGAAGGUCAGAAGACUAGAUGCACACAAGAUUGAGACCAUAGCAAAAAUUGCCAAACAACACCUUAAACAAGUACCAAAUUUUCUUGACAAAAAUCAAAAGUCAGGGAUCCAACUUCCACACUUAACAACGCCCUGAACAGAGACAGUCACGCAAUAGCGAACGAAAAUCCCUCUGAAAUGUACAUAUGCUGAUCAUUUAUGGUCUCCCACUGCAUGCAUGAACCAGCAACGGCUUGGAGGCGGUCCUGUUUGCGACAUGACUUCAUCUGGAGGGGGAGGCGUCGGCAAUGGCGGUGGUGCGACUGAUAGAGAAGAUGAAGGGACGGUGGCGGUGGGGGGUUGCAUCAGGCAGAGAGCGAAUUUUGAAGCAUUCCUUCAAAGCCUUUAGGAUUUGCAGAUUCAUUCUCCUUUGCAUUGCUUGAUAGCUCUGGGAAAAGACAAUUUGGGUACAGAACUGACGGUUUGAGGUCUCUUAGGAUCAAAGAGAAAGAGAGAUGAUAACAGGGAACUGGACCUUUCAUCGUGUUCCUGGAUUAUCGCCUGAAAAGUGAAAACAGAGUUGGUGCAAUAGUAAGUUGCUUGCUGCUUUGUCGGAAAAAAUGAGCGGCUUCUUCUACAAUCUUGAAUUUCUUGUCUCUCGGAACAAUCUAGUUCUGGGAGACUAGAAAGAAGAGAUAUCAGAGGUCGCCGGUCUUCACUUCCUCUUGCUUACUAACAUGCAGUUGCAACCACCAACAGGUAGAUCCGUCGGCUGGAUGGCGAGCAAUGGUGCAUGCAAGCCAUGAUAACAACAUCGUCUUGCAGCUUCUUCGUAGCCCAAGAAUUUAACCCCCAAUAGCCCUUUUAUUCAUAGCCCUUUAACAAUAUAGAGAGAAUAACAUUAAUGAAUCUAGAGAGCAUUUUUUAUUGCUUCUUGGGUGUUUUUAGAGAGAGAGCCAAGAGAGGGGGCCAAAAGUCAAAAGUUGUUACUUGAAGGGCUUAGGGCCCUUUAUAUAAGCCCCUAGUCACGUACCCAGUGCCGUAUAAAUAUCCAAAAUACGUAUAGCUGUAAUCCUAAGGUAUAUUCCCUAUCAUAGUCUAUUGUACCUCAAAAGUUUUAGAUUUAGUAUUUUUCACGUUUAACGGUUAGUAACUCCACUUUAGCUCGGCACCCCACAUUUUCACGUAUUUAAGGUUUGGAAUAUAACCUUUCCAUAAUUCAAAAUGGGUUCUGCCUAAUCUUUUCUUGGUACCCUUUAUUUAGUGCUAUUGGUAAACCCACUUUAGCUAGGCACCUCCACAUUUUCAAGUAUUUAAGGUUUGGAAUAUAAUCUUUCUAUAAUUCAAAACGGAUUUUGUGUCUAAUCUUUUGUGUGGUACCCUCCAACCUUUCCACAGUUUCACCCAACAUAUUGCUAAGCAAUCCAGAACUUAAAAGCAUUGCAUUUAUCAUAUCUUUUAAUGUUUUAUUUUCCCUUUGCAGGGCGCGUUGACGGAAAGGAAAUUGCACGUGUCAAAUGGAUCUGAGAAGAUGGUGUUUAUGUGUGUGCAACCAGCAAUGGUGGGGAUGACCAGAAUGUAGUUCAAGAUAGUACGGCCAGUGAAGAUUUUAGCUAGGAACAUGGACUUUGCCGUGGGAGUUGCAGCACAUGUUCGUUGACAACCAAUUUUAGUCUCACAAGAUCCUUGUUUUUUUUCUUUUACAUAACUUUUACCAAUUAAAGUAUGGUUAGCGGUUCUUGGCUUAGUAGUGAAUAGGGUGCGUUUUGUAAGGAAUACAUUAUAUGAUUCGACAAUUUUUGAUGAGUUUAUUACAGAUUUUUGUUUUGCACGCA
Long non-coding RNA from Ipomoea triloba (trilobed morning glory), 4656 nucleotides. RefSeq lists it as uncharacterized. NCBI's taxonomy places the organism in Eukaryota, Viridiplantae, Streptophyta, Magnoliopsida, Solanales, Convolvulaceae. The record is from RefSeq and is a predicted model, not a curated record. The transcript has 2 exons.